AUGAGCAGUCCAGCAAGUAUUUCAAAGGCUCUGCCGUGUGUCAGGAUGGCUAAGACAAGACCCUGUCUACAAAGAGCUCUCACUCUGAUGGACGCAGACAGGGAGGUAAAGGAGGUACUGUGUGGAUCUCCGGGUUCCAGUGUUGUGGCUAUGGUAGUGGGGGCCCAGGGCAGGGGAGCCAAGGCAGGUUCUACAGCGCAAGAAGUACUGAAGGACAAAGAGGAUGUUCGAAGGCUGCCACUGUGCUUGAGAGAAGCCCCGGACGGCAGGCUCUUUCUCCCACAAUUCUUGCUAUUUUCUUUCCUCUCAGUCCUCCGGGCCAAGGACUCCCCUCCAUCUCUCAAAAACAUAAGCAGACUCUCCCCCACCUCUGAUGCCUUUGCAAACCUAACCCCCACUCCCACCCCAACUCUAUCUGCACCCCCCCAAGGUGAGCUCGAUGCCAGCUCCUCUAUGAAAACUUUCUGGCCUGUCCAGAUUGCUCACACUCUAUCAUGUUGUCUAUGUCUCUCUUGUGUCUUAACCUCUGCAGGUCCACUACACUGAAUGUCCUCUCAGGAGGGCGCUGCAUGGCCAGCUCUGUUCCUACUUCCACCAAACCAGGAUCUAGCCCACAGCCUUGAGUCCAGUUAGUGCGCGGCACAUACUGAUGUCUCUUUCUCCACUAAUUUGCGCCCUGCUGGUCAUCCAGCUUUCCCUGGUUCUUGUUUUUAGGUCUGUGUAUCUUAUGCCAGUUCUACUGUGUAACAUCUGCACACUUGAGCCCUAAGAUUCAUUUGUAGCUGCCGUACAUUUUAUACCUUCUGGGACUGGCACAGCCAGUGCGAAGCUAAUGCCUGCUGUCUGCACCCCAGGAAGCCCUCCCUCAGAGGUGGAGGAGGAUGCACACAGCGCCAGGAGGC
This 902-nucleotide long non-coding RNA is filed under the name Chinchilla lanigera (long-tailed chinchilla). Its description in RNAcentral is "lncRNA (ENSCLAG00000024056.1)". The record is from RNAcentral. Lineage: Eukaryota; Metazoa; Chordata; Mammalia; Rodentia; Chinchillidae.